RNAcentral lists this ribosomal RNA (724 nucleotides) under Priestia aryabhattai. RNAcentral describes it as "bacterial SSU rRNA". It matches the Rfam family "Bacterial small subunit ribosomal RNA", at positions 56 to 761 of the family's 1533-position model. Lineage: Bacteria; Bacillati; Bacillota; Bacilli; Caryophanales; Bacillaceae. The record is from RNAcentral.
UGCAGUCGAGCGAACUGAUUAGAAGCUUGCUUCUAUGACGUUAGCGGCGGACGGGUGAGUAACACGUGGGCAACCUGCCUGUAAGACUGGGAUAACUUCGGGAAACCGAAGCUAAUACCGGAUAGGAUCUUCUCCUUCAUGGGAGAUGAUUGAAAGAUGGUUUCGGCUAUCACUUACAGAUGGGCCCGCGGUGCAUUAGCUAGUUGGUGAGGUAACGGCUCACCAAGGCAACGAUGCAUAGCCGACCUGAGAGGGUGAUCGGCCACACUGGGACUGAGACACGGCCCAGACUCCUACGGGAGGCAGCAGUAGGGAAUCUUCCGCAAUGGACGAAAGUCUGACGGAGCAACGCCGCGUGAGUGAUGAAGGCUUUCGGGUCGUAAAACUCUGUUGUUAGGGAAGAACAAGUACGAGAGUAACUGCUCGUACCUUGACGGUACCUAACCAGAAAGCCACGGCUAACUACGUGCCAGCAGCCGCGGUAAUACGUAGGUGGCAAGCGUUAUCCGGAAUUAUUGGGCGUAAAGCGCGCGCAGGCGGUUUCUUAAGUCUGAUGUGAAAGCCCACGGCUCAACCGUGGAGGGUCAUUGGAAACUGGGGAACUUGAGUGCAGAAGAGAAAAGCGGAAUUCCACGUGUAGCGGUGAAAUGCGUAGAGAUGUGGAGGAACACCAGUGGCGAAGGCGGCUUUUUUGGUCUGUAACUGACGCUGAGGCGCGAAAGCG